This 68-nucleotide small RNA is filed under the name Domibacillus iocasae. Its description in RNAcentral is "Bacillaceae-1 RNA". It matches the Rfam family "Bacillaceae-1 RNA". The record is from Rfam by way of RNAcentral. Lineage: Bacteria; Bacillati; Bacillota; Bacilli; Caryophanales; Bacillaceae.
CAAUAUGGAUCAAAAGCUAAGAACGCAGCAUCUGUGCUGCAACGCUUUUGUGACCUACGUCCUGUAGG